RNAcentral lists this ribosomal RNA (253 nucleotides) under uncultured bacterium. Its description in RNAcentral is "partial 16S ribosomal RNA". It matches the Rfam family "Bacterial small subunit ribosomal RNA", at positions 524 to 776 of the family's 1533-position model. The record is from RNAcentral.
UACGGGGGGUGCGAGCGUUGUCCGGAAUCACUGGGCGUAAAGGGCGCGUAGGUGGCGUGAUAAGGGUGUGGUGAAAGCCCGGGGCUCAACCCCGGGUCUGCCAUGCCGACUGUCAGGCUAGAGUACUGUAGGGGCAGGCGGAAUUCCGGGUGUAGCGGUGGAAUGCGUAGAGAUCCGGAGGAACACCCGAGGCGAAGGCGGCUCUCUGGGUCGUACCUGACGCUGAGGCGCGAAAGCGUGGGGAGCGAACGGG